AGCUAAUAGCUCGAUUUGAGGAAGAAACAAGUUCCGUGGGACGAGAACAAGUAAAUAAGGCCUAUCAUGCAUAUCGAGAGGUUUGCAUUGAUAGAGAUAAUUUGAAGAGCAAACUGGACAAAAUGAAUAAAGACAACUCUGAAUCUUUGAAAGUAUUGAAUGAGCAGCUACAAUCUAAAGAAGUAGAACUCCUCCAGCUGAGGACAGAGGUGGAAACUCAGCAGGUGAUGAGGAAUUUAAAUCCACCUUCAUCAAACUGGGAGGUGGAAAAGUUGAGCUGUGA
This 283-nucleotide small RNA is filed under the name Pan troglodytes (chimpanzee). RNAcentral describes it as "retained intron". The record is from RNAcentral. Lineage: Eukaryota; Metazoa; Chordata; Mammalia; Primates; Hominidae.